UGGUAGAAGCUCCGUCCCAAGCUUAUUCGCACAGCACGCCGUAUCGCCAACGGGAGCGCGCAGAGAGGAGGGAAGAGUGGGACAACGCAAGCAGUGGACGCUGAUUUAUAGCACCUAUGGGUUCAGACAUCAACAGCCAAUGGGGGAUAGAGGGAGACACGAGAAAAAGGCAGCUUACUCGAACGUUGUUGACGGAGAAGAUGAGGUCAAACCUUGUUAGCUGGCCUGCUGCUGCCUCCAAUCUAGGGAGGGUGUCGGAGGCCGUGGAGUGACGCACGAAGGUGUGUAGCCCAUGGCCAAGUCGACGUGGAUGGUGGUGUCAGACAUCUCCCUAUGGCGUCCUCCAUGAGUGUGAGAUUUCCGGCGGCACCGUGCGGACAGCCCCACACGGAGACCAGGUCCUCGCCAAAGUGGCCCAGGUGUGCGUACAGCGAGAGGCGGCGGGGAUCAUGGCGGCGAGGCACAUCGACCACUCCAUCGGCAAUGAUGCACACAGCACCCUUUUCCACUUAAGUCCACCAGGAAACACCCGAAAGAGGAGGGCGCCGAGGUCCCUACCGCGCCGCCAUCUGGCUCGGGAAGGAGAGGAUGGCCCCGAGCUCUUCCUCCAUAGCGGUUGAAGAGUAGAGCGCCGAGGUUCCCAAUGCGCCGCCAUCUGCCUCGUCAAGGAGAGGAGAGCCCCGAGCUCACCCUCCACAGCGGCUGAAGAGGAGGGCGUCGAGGAGGAGAGGAGAGCCCCAAGCUCUUCCUCCACGGUGGCUGAAGAGGAGGGCGGAGAGGUCCUCAUCGCUCUUCCUCCACGCCGUCAGCCGCCUUGGUAGGUGGCACGGUGGCCAGAGAGGGAGAAGAGGAGGCCGGCCAUAGGGAAGAAUGUGAAGAAGAAAGUUGGGGGCGAAUUGUUCCAUGGUGGAGAUUGAGGGGGCGCCUCUCUGACCAGCUGCCGCUUUGACCGAAUUCUGGAGCGAUCCAUGAAAAUAGGAAGGGGUGAGGCAACAGCCGGUAGCCGGUUGCCUGUCUACCCAAAAAAUAAAGAUGCAAAACAAAUUACGUGAGUAGAUCAGGGAAGGGAUAAAGUAAAUAAGUACGUGUCAAUCAACAAUAGGAGGAAAGAGUGGAUAAAUAGCA
Molecule: long non-coding RNA, 1125 nt
Organism: Lolium rigidum
Lineage: Eukaryota; Viridiplantae; Streptophyta; Magnoliopsida; Poales; Poaceae
Exons: 2
Source: RefSeq, a predicted model, not a curated record